CCUGAACGCUGGCGGCGUGGCUAAGACAUGCAAGUCGCACGGUGUAGCAAUACACAGUGGCGAACGGGUGAGUAAUGUAUCGCUAAUGUACCCCGGACUCUGGGAUAGCUAGCCGAAAGGUUAGGUAAUACCAGAUGAUAUAAUCCUCCCGCAUGGGAAGGAUUCUCAAAGGUCCGCCGGUCUGGGAGCAGGCGAUAUCGUAUCAGCUAGUUGGUGAGGUAACGGCUCACCAAGGCGACGACGCGUAGCCGGACUGAGAGGUUGGCCGGCCACAUUGGGACUGAGACACUGCCCAGACUCCUACGGGGGGCUGCAGUAACGAAUCUUCCGCAAUGCACGAAAGUGUGACGGAGCGACGCCGCGUGUAGGACGAAGCCCUUCGGGGUGUAAACUACUGUCAGGGGUUAGAAAGUUCUGAUCAACCCCAGAGGAAGGCACGGCUAACUCUGUGCCAGCAGCCGCGGUAAGACAGAGGUGCCAAGCGUUAGGCGGAAUCACUGGGCUUAAAGCGUGUGUAGGCGGACUCCUAAGUACCUUGUGAAAUCCCACGGCUCAACCGUGGAACUGCUUGGUAUACUGGGU
Molecule: ribosomal RNA, 582 nt
Filed under: uncultured bacterium
Lineage: Bacteria
Description: bacterial SSU rRNA
Rfam family: Bacterial small subunit ribosomal RNA
Source: RNAcentral